UGGAGAAUAACCAAACCUCUUGACUUCUUCUACUUUUCUUUUCUAUUUUUCAGCAACGUCAGUGAGUAAAAUAUGUUUUUUAUCUGGAAUUCCUUUUUGACAAACCAACACAGAAAGAAAAAUGAACAAAUGUGAACUAUGUGGGUAGCUGCAUGAGGUAGAAGAAUCUUCUGCACAAAAAUAUGAAAGAGUUGGUGACAAAACCUAAGAAAAGGAAAAACCAAAGCCCACAAUUAAAUAAAAAUGAAGACUGAAAUGACUUGUACCUGAAAAUUUGGGAGAGAUUUUUAACAAAACAAAAAUAGGAAAUGAAAUUUCUCAAGUUCAACUGAAAAGAUGACAUUUUUCAAAAUCCACUAGGUGAAAUUGCUCAACUUGAUAUCUGAUAAGGUAAGUCUUCUCAUUUGGUUGUUCAAUCUUGUCUUGACUAACUUCUUUCUUUUGCCUU
This 448-nucleotide long non-coding RNA is filed under the name Chinchilla lanigera (long-tailed chinchilla). RNAcentral's name for it is "lncRNA (ENSCLAG00000027389.1)". Lineage: Eukaryota; Metazoa; Chordata; Mammalia; Rodentia; Chinchillidae. The record is from RNAcentral.